This 326-nucleotide ribosomal RNA is filed under the name Gammarus cf. fossarum 2SK17. RNAcentral's name for it is "partial large subunit ribosomal RNA". It matches the Rfam family "Bacterial large subunit ribosomal RNA", at positions 2046 to 2602 of the family's 2925-position model. The record is from RNAcentral. Lineage: Eukaryota; Metazoa; Arthropoda; Malacostraca; Amphipoda; Gammaridae.
GUAUGGUUUAGUUAAUAAAUUAAAGUCGGGGUAAUAAUUCUUUGAUCUGCUAGGGGACGAUAAGACCCUAGAAGCUUUAAAAAAGAAAAAUUUUUAGUGAGUGUAGAUAGUUUUUACUGGGGCGGUGUCGGUGUUUAAACUACCAAUAAUAGAGGAGGAUCCUUAAUAUAAAGAUAUUUCGGUUAAGUUACUCUAGGGAUAACAGUGCGGUAAUUUUGGAAAGGUCUUAUUAAUAAAAAUGUUCGCAACCUCGAUGUUGAAUUAGGAUGUCUACGUGGUGCAGUAAAUAUAGUAGAGGGUUUGUUCAACCUUUAUAGUCUUACAUG